Molecule: ribosomal RNA, 480 nt
Filed under: uncultured bacterium
Lineage: Bacteria
Description: partial 16S ribosomal RNA
Rfam family: Bacterial small subunit ribosomal RNA
Source: RNAcentral
GACGAACGCUGGCGGCGCGCUUAACACAUGCAAGUCGAGCGAUGAAAUCUUGACAGAUCCCUUCGGGGUGAAGAUAAGAUGGAUUAGCGGCGGACGGGUGAGUAACACGUGAGUAACCUGCCUUAGACAUUGGGAUAGCCUCGGGAAACCGGGAUUAAUACCAAAUGAAAUCAUAGGUGCCCAUGCACUAGUGAUCAAAACUCCGGUGGUCUAAGAUGGACUCGCGUCCCAUUAGCUAGUUGGUGAGGUAAUGGCCCACCAAGGCGACGAUGGGUAGCCGGCCUGAGAGGGUGAACGGCCACAUUGGAACUGAGAAACGGUCCAAACUCCUACGGGAGGCAGCAGUGGGGAAUAUUGCACAAUGGAGGGAACUCUGAUGCAGCGACGCCGCGUGAACGAUGAAGGCUUUCGAGUCGUAAAGUUCUUUUAUAUGGGAAGAUAAUGACGGUACCAUAAGAAAAAGCCCCGGCUAACUACGUG